GUGUGGCUCAAUGGUAGAACAUCUUCUUGCCAUGCAGAAGGUCCCAGGUUCCAUCCCAGACAUCUCCA
This 68-nucleotide transfer RNA is filed under the name Sphaerodactylus townsendi. RNAcentral's name for it is "tRNA-Gly". Lineage: Eukaryota; Metazoa; Chordata; Lepidosauria; Squamata; Sphaerodactylidae. The record is from RNAcentral.